CCCUUAGAUGUCCUGGGCCGCACGCGCGUUACACUGAUGCAUUCAACGAGCUUAUAACCUUGGCCGAGAGGCCUGGGCAAUCUUGUUAACGUGCAUCGUGAUAGGGAUAGAUUAUUGAAAUUAUUAAUCUUGAACGAGGAAUUCCUAGUAAACGCAGAUCAUCAAUCUGCAUUGAUUACGUCCCUGCCCUUUGUACACACCGCCCGUCGCACCUACCGAUUGGAUGGUCCGGUGAAGCCUCGGGAUUGUGGUUCUUGCCGCUUUAUUGUGGCGUGACCGCGAGAACUUGUCUAAACCUUAUCAUCUAGAGGAAGGUGAAGUCGGAACA
This 328-nucleotide ribosomal RNA is filed under the name uncultured eukaryote. RNAcentral's name for it is "partial 18S ribosomal RNA". It matches the Rfam family "Eukaryotic small subunit ribosomal RNA", at positions 1470 to 1796 of the family's 1831-position model. The record is from RNAcentral.